Non-coding RNA from Podarcis muralis (Common wall lizard), 509 nucleotides. The record is from RefSeq and is a predicted model, not a curated record. Lineage: Eukaryota; Metazoa; Chordata; Lepidosauria; Squamata; Lacertidae.
UUAGCGAUGUGCUCCAAGCCUUCGUUGAUCUUCUGGGCAGCCAUGUCGCCCAGCAGGACCUGCAGGGAUUCAAGGCCGUGACGUUAGCGGAGGUGACCUACAUUUUGGAGGGCGUGUCUGCUCUUGCCAUCUAUUGCUAACGGAAUGGAAAUAUACUCUGAUUUGUGCUUAUAUGACUGAACUGGUCAAACUAUAGUUUCACCAUUCUUUAAAAGGAACUGCAGUCAAUUACUCCACUCAAGCUCUUUCUGCAUCUCCUCCCUACAACUUCAUGAACUGAGAAGAAGGCAACAGAAUGCUGCUGGAAGGAGAUAAAGAAGUUCUCAUUCAGGUCAAAGCUGCAAGAUGCAGCAAAAGAGCAAGAGAAAUUAAUGUGUUAUGCCAUCUUACAAAUGAUACUUGUCUGGAGGGUUAUGAUUAAUUUAUAACCAUUUGCCUUGUUAAAAAACACAUGUCACAUGUAAAUGCAUGGAAAGAUAAUAACAAGGCUGCAGUUCUUUAAUCAUAAA